This 22-nucleotide non-coding RNA is filed under the name Arabidopsis thaliana (thale cress). The record is from RNAcentral. Lineage: Eukaryota; Viridiplantae; Streptophyta; Magnoliopsida; Brassicales; Brassicaceae.
CAGUCGAGGUUCCUUUACCACC